This 195-nucleotide non-coding RNA is filed under the name Bacillus sp. T33-2. Its description in RNAcentral is "6S / SsrS RNA". It matches the Rfam family "6S / SsrS RNA". From Rfam's summary of the family: E. coli 6S RNA was the first non coding RNA to be sequenced, but its function was unknown until recently. The record is from Rfam by way of RNAcentral. Lineage: Bacteria; Bacillati; Bacillota; Bacilli; Caryophanales; Bacillaceae.
CAUAAGCUGCAUUGUUCGUUUCUAUAAUAAAGUUUUAACCGUUAAGCUGUAAUAGGGAGUUUUAUAUCGGAACAGGAAUGACAAGCCUCUGUCUAAAUGACAGGGAGGACAUGCAGGAAUGUUUCUGCGGACACCCACUUUGAGGAGUGGUGGUUUAAAACUUUCUUAUCUUAAUACGGCAAAGGCGGCUUUACC